GAUGAACGCUGGCGGCGUGCCUAACACAUGCAAGUCGAACGGAGCUGCUUUGAUGAAGUUUUCGGAUGGAUUUAAAGCAGCUUAGUGGCGGACGGGUGAGUAACGCGUGGGUAACCUGCCUCACACUGGGGGAUAACAGUUAGAAAUAGCUGCUAAUACCGCAUAAGCGCACAGUUCCGCAUGGAACAGUGUGAAAAACUCCGGUGGUGUGAGAUGGACCCGCGUCUGAUUAGCCAGUUGGCGGGGUAACGGCCCACCAAAGCGACGAUCAGUAGCCGGCCUGAGAGGGUGAACGGCCACAUUGGGACUGAGACACGGCCCAAACUCCUACGGGAGGCAGCAGUGGGGAAUAUUGCACAAUGGGGGAAACCCUGAUGCAGCGACGCCGCGUGAGUGAAGAAGUAUUUCGGUAUGUAAAGCUCUAUCAGCAGGGAAGAAAGUGACGGUACCUGAAUAAGAAGCCCCGGCUAACUACGUGCCAGCAGCCGCGGUAAUACGUAGGGGGCAAGCGUUAUCCGGAUUUACUGGGUGUAAAGGGAGCGUAGACGGCAAGGCAAGUCUGAAGUGAAAGCCCGGUGCUUAACGCCGGGACUGCUUUGGAAACUGUUUGGCUGGAGUGCCGGAGAGGUAAGCGGAAUUCCUAGUGUAGCGGUGAAAUGCGUAGAUAUUAGGAAGAACACCAGUGGCGAAGGCGGCUUACUGGACGGUAACUGACGUUGAGGCUC
This 725-nucleotide ribosomal RNA is filed under the name uncultured Lachnospiraceae bacterium. RNAcentral's name for it is "bacterial SSU rRNA". It matches the Rfam family "Bacterial small subunit ribosomal RNA", at positions 28 to 754 of the family's 1533-position model. The record is from RNAcentral. Lineage: Bacteria; Bacillati; Bacillota; Clostridia; Lachnospirales; Lachnospiraceae.